ACGGGUGAGUAAUGUCUGGGGAUCUGCCCGAUAGAGGGGGAUAACCACUGGAAACGGUGGCUAAUACCGCAUAACGUCGCAAGACCAAAGAGGGGGACCUUCGGGCCUCUCACUAUCGGAUGAACCCAGAUGGGGUUAGCUAGUAGGCGGGGUAACGGCCCACCUAGGCGACGAUCCCUAGCUGGUCUGAGAGGAUGACCAGCCACACUGGAACUGAGACACGGUCCAGACUCCUACGGGAGGCAGCAGUGGGGAAUAUUGCACAAUGGGCGCAAGCCUGAUGCAGCCAUGCCGCGUGUAUGAAGAAGGCCUUCGGGUUGUAAAGUACUUUCAGCGGGGAGGAAGGCGAUGUGGUUAAUAACCGCGUCGAUUGACGUUACCCGCAGAAGAAGCACCGGCUAACUCCGUGCCAGCAGCCGCGGUAAUACGGAGGGUGCAAGCGUUAAUCGGAAUUACUGGGCGUAAAGCGCACGCAGGCGGUCUGUUAAGUCAGAUGUGAAAUCCCCGGGCUUAACCUGGGAACUGCAUUUGAAACUGGCAGGCUUGAGUCUCGUAGAGGGGGGUAGAAUUCCAGGUGU
This 578-nucleotide ribosomal RNA is filed under the name uncultured bacterium. Its description in RNAcentral is "bacterial SSU rRNA". It matches the Rfam family "Bacterial small subunit ribosomal RNA", at positions 102 to 676 of the family's 1533-position model. The record is from RNAcentral.